This 406-nucleotide ribosomal RNA is filed under the name uncultured bacterium. RNAcentral's name for it is "partial 16S ribosomal RNA". It matches the Rfam family "Bacterial small subunit ribosomal RNA", at positions 30 to 526 of the family's 1533-position model. The record is from RNAcentral.
AUUGAACGCUGGCGGCAGGCCUAACACAUGCAAGUCGAACGAGUGGCGGACGGGUGAGUAAUGUAUGGGAAACUGCCUGAUGGAGGGGGAUAACUCCUGGAAACGGUAGCUAAUACCGCAUACCAUCGGAUGUACCCAGAUGGGAUUCGCUAGUAGGUGGGGUAACGGCUCACCGAGGCGACGAUCCCUAGCUGGUCUGAGAGGAUGACCAGCCACACUGGAACGGAGACACGUGCCAGACUCCUACGGGAGGCAGCAGUGGUGAAUAUUGCACAAGGGGCGCAAGCCUGAUGCAGCCAUGCCGCGUGUAUGAAGAAGGCCGUCGGGUUGUAAAGUACUUUCAGCGGGGAGGCGUUACCCGCAGAAGAAGCACCGGCUAACUCCGUGCCAGCAGCCGCGGUAAUUC